Molecule: ribosomal RNA, 155 nt
Filed under: Vibrio sp.
Lineage: Bacteria; Pseudomonadati; Pseudomonadota; Gammaproteobacteria; Vibrionales; Vibrionaceae
Description: partial 16S ribosomal RNA
Rfam family: Bacterial small subunit ribosomal RNA
Source: RNAcentral
GCAAGCCUGAUGCAGCCAUGCCGCGUGUAUGAAGAAGGCCUUCGGGUUGUAAAGUACUUUCAGCAGUGAGGAAGGUUCAUACGUUAAUAGCGUAUGGAUUUGACGUUAGCUGCAGAAGAAGCACCGGCUAACUCCGUGCCAGCAGCCGCGGUAAU